Non-coding RNA from Doryrhamphus excisus (bluestripe pipefish), 2916 nucleotides. The record is from RefSeq and is a predicted model, not a curated record. NCBI's taxonomy places the organism in Eukaryota, Metazoa, Chordata, Actinopteri, Syngnathiformes, Syngnathidae.
UCUGUCCAGGUUUCACGUGCUUCAUGACCUACAAACACAGACACACACGAUGAAAUCUCACCAUCUUGUGGGCUUCGCUGGACACCUUGUUGGUGUAUCGGAGGACCUCCAGCUCCAUGUCGGUCUUAAUCAGGCGGCUGCAGGGAGAAGAAGGAGAAAUCUGUCCGUCAGAUAAGGUUAAUGUACAGGAAACGAACAGCGGCGUACCAGCGUGAGGAGGACGGCGGCUUUCAGGCCGGCGAGGACUUCGGCAAUCUGCAAGGAAGCUACACCAGCUACACUUUUCACCUGGCUGGCCUGCCCUGACGCCACAAUGGCUGGCCAGUGUCUCUGCAAGAGCACUUUUGCAGCCGAUUCCUGAAAAAAACAUCUGCAAGUUCUUGUCUUACUGAUGAUCUUUGUCACUUAAAAACAGAAAAUCACUCCUGUUGCAUGGAGGAUCUUUGACUAGCAUCUUUUUUUAGAUUCUUACAAUCAGCAGAGCUCUCCUACGAUAUAGAAGAUCUUUGACUAACAUUUUUUUCUGUUGAUCAGUAAAAGCAGGAAAGCGUUAGAGAGGAUCAAUAACGAGUAUUUUUGCAAUAGGACCUUAAGCAGCACAGCGCUCCUGUCGGAUAGAGGAUCUUUAACCAGUCUUUUUGCAACAGAUUCUUAAAAACAGCAGAGCGCUCCUGUCGGAUAGAGAGGAUCUUCAACAAGUCUUUUUGUAGCAGAUUCUUAAAAACAGCAGAGCGCUCCUGUCGGAGAGAAGAUCUUUAACUAAAGUCUUUUUGCAGCAGAUUCCUAAAAACAGCAGAGCGCUCCUGUCGGAUAGAGGAUCUUUAACAAAAGUCUUUUUGCAGCAGAUUCUUAAAAACAGCAGAGAGAGGAUCUUUAACAAGUCUUUUUGUAGCAGAUUCUUAAAAACAGCAGAGUGCUCCUGUUGGAUAGAGGAUCUUUAACAAGUCUUUUUGUAGCAGAUUCUUAAAAACAGCUGAGCGCUCCUGUCGGAUUGAGGAUCUUUAACAAGUCUUUUUGGAGCAGAUUCUUAAAAACAGCAAAUCGCUCCUGUCAAAUAGAGGAUCAUUAACAAGUCUUUUUGGAGCAGAUACUUAAAAACAGCAGAGCGCUCUUGUCCAAUAGAGGAUCUUUAACAAGUCUUUUUGCAGCAGAUUCUUAAAAACAGCAGAGCGCUCCUAUCGGAGCGGAUCUUUAACCAGUCUUUUUGCAGAAGAUUCUUAAAAACAGCAGAGCGCUCAUGUCGGAUAGAGGAUCUUUAACAAGUCUUUUUGCAGCAGAUUCUUAAAAACAGCAGAGAGAGGAUCUUUAACAAGUCUUUUUGCGGCAGAUUCUUAAAAACAGCAGAGCGCUCCUGUCUGAUAGAGAGGAUCUUUAACAAGUCUUUUUGCGGCAGAUUCUUAAAAACAGCAGAGAGAGGAUCUUUAACAAGUCUUUUUGCGGCAGAUUCUUAAAAACAGCAGAGCGCUCCUGUCUGAUAGAGAGGAUCUUUAACAAGUCUUUUUGCAGCAGAUUCUUAAAAACAAAGCGCUCCUGUCGGAUAGAGGAUCUUUAACCAGUCUUUUUGCAGCAGAUUCUUUUAAAAGGUCCUUUUUUAAAAGGAAAACUGCACUUUUUGGCCUUGUGUGAGACAUAAACACACGUCUUUCUCGUCUUUUCUGCGCAUUCUAAAGAUUGAAAAGAGACAAAAAGAGGAAGCUAAGAAUGCACGUAAUGGGACCCGCCUAUAAAGCCUUCUGCCUUUACAUCAUGUGACCUGCUGACCUGCUGGUACACUUCUUGUCGUGUUUCCCUGCUGGUGUGCAUCCACGUGGAUCCCAUAAGUGAACCAAGCAAAACCAGCAUCACGCCAAAACGAUGUAAGAUCCUGACCUUGUUAAGGAGCACGUCGGCGUGUUUAUUUAUUUUCAAUUGGGAAGUUCGAUUAUUUUUAUUUGCCUCUUCCGCUGCAGAGACUUUUUCACUCACAUGCGGUCAAAGGUCGCGUACGAGCGAGCGGCAGACUUACUUCGGUGGAGUAGUGCACCUCAUCCACGCCGUACUUCACCCUGAAGUGCUCCUUGGGAAAGAUCCUGUCAACACAACGGAAGGCAAACACAAACGGGUGAUGAAAAGUACACGCUUUGUUUGUCCAGACAUCAUGGAGGAGAAAACACGCUCAUUAAGUUUUUCGGAAGCUAACAGAAGGACUCACUCUCCCAUCCAAGUGGCAUAGCUUUGGGGCAGUUUGGGGACAAAUAAGAUAGCUUUCCCAGAGUCCACUUCAAUGGCUCCGUAGCAGUCGGACUCUGUGACCCCAAAGGCCCAGUGGAAGAAGGACUCCUGCAGACAUUAGUCAGCAAGUGUGGACAAAGAAAGUACAAAGCAGGAAGGUCAAAUGUGGGAAAGUGGAAAUUUCAUUACCCUUGGGAACAAAGACACUGCUAAAAACAUCACCGCAGAGCAUAGCAAUCCCAAGGUAACCGGGAAAAUACAGAUGGCGGCAAUGCAUGCAAUACGACUUUUUUUGUCCGUGAUCUCCGGAUCUUUGAGCUUUUGUGAAGUCAGAUAUUAUGGAACUUUAAUGAUAUACAUAUCAUAUAUUGCAUAACACAGCAGCAACAGAACCAAUGUUGUAACAGCCAGAGUUAGUAGCAUAAACAGGACAGAAAGUGGAACAUGUGGGAGUUUCACACCAGCGCAUAGAGACGUAGAUGAAGCUGCUGGAUGGCGGGCAGUCAUCAUCUCUCAAAAGAAGCUACAGCUACAGUUAUUUGCUCUUACAGAAAUAGCAGUAAGUAAAAACGUCCACAGUUUUGUCUAAAGCUUCGUUGUAGUACUUGAACGCACCAGAAACAAGAAGACGUACCGCCCCGUACCAGCAGAUGGUAGUAGACCGCUCAUCAUUCAGUAGCUUUGAUCACUCAGGAACUGAAACCA